This 520-nucleotide ribosomal RNA is filed under the name uncultured Entrophospora. RNAcentral describes it as "SSU rRNA". It matches the Rfam family "Eukaryotic small subunit ribosomal RNA", at positions 569 to 1082 of the family's 1831-position model. The record is from RNAcentral. Lineage: Eukaryota; Fungi; Glomeromycota; Glomeromycetes; Entrophosporales; Entrophosporaceae.
AGCAGCCGCGGUAAUUCCAGCUCCAAUAGCGUAUAUUAAAGUUGUUGCAGUUAAAAAGCUCGUAGUUGAAUUUCGGGAUUUGCACAUCGGUCGUGCCUUAAGGGGUAUGAACUGGUGUAGUGAAUUUCUCACCUUCUGGAGAACCGCGAUGUCCUUAAUUGGGUGCCGCGAGGAACCAGGACCUUUACUUUGAAAAAAUUAGAGUGUUUAAAGCAGGCAUUUUUGCUUGAAUACAUUAGCAUGGAAUAAUAAAAUAGGACGGCAUGAUUCUAUUUUGUUGGUUUCUAGGAUCACCGUAAUGAUUAAUAGGGAUAGUUGGGGGCAUUAGUAUUCAAUUGUCAGAGGUGAAAUUCUUGGAUUUAUUGAAGACUAACUACUGCGAAAGCAUUUGCCAAGGAUAGUUUUCAUUAAUCAAGAACGAAAGUUAGGGGAUCGAAGACGAUCAGAUACCGUCGUAGUCUUAACCAUAAACUAUGCCGACUAGGAAUCAGACGAUGUUAAUUUUUUAAUGACUCGUUUG